Long non-coding RNA from Hermetia illucens (black soldier fly), 602 nucleotides. RefSeq lists it as uncharacterized. NCBI's taxonomy places the organism in Eukaryota, Metazoa, Arthropoda, Insecta, Diptera, Stratiomyidae. The record is from RefSeq and is a predicted model, not a curated record. The transcript is spliced from 2 exons.
UAAAAAAGAAUGGAAAAUUUGGAUGAUGUUUUCAGUAUAAAUUACUGAGAAUGCAUUAACAUAAUAUAUGCAAACUAUUCUUAUCUAAUCUAAUCAGUUUCGGGGAACAAAACAUUUGCAUGUGCUUGACAAAAGUAAGCUUGUUCUGCUAAAUUAUCGAAUGCGUCUAGACAAUAUCUCAAUGCAAAAUUAAUUAAAACAUUAAAAGCGGUUUCGUUGGUCCUCAAAAUAGUAUAUAAACUUGGGAUUAUUUUUGGGAAAUCAGUUUUAGUUUAUCCGGGAAUCGAGAGAAUAUCUCAAAAUGAAAUACGUCGAACUUAUCCUUCUCGUCGUUUUGGUUAUCAUCGUUAUUGCUGGACCAACUGAUGCUAGUUUCUCGUCCAUCAUGAAGAAGAUCGAGGUUAUUGGAGGGGAAGUUGCCAACAUGGGUGAUAAGGUUUUUUGUUAACGCUGUGCGAGACAUCUUGGCUUAAUUUCGAUUCAGAACUUAAAAACUCCCAAUCAGAUCAUGGUUAACAUAUGAAUUCAACUAAUAGUUACAAUUUAAAAGGCUUUUUAAAGGUUCUCAACAACAUGUUAAUAAAAUUGAAGUGGUAUAAAAA